ACAGCCAAAUGCUCAACAGCGCUCCAGGGCCGGCGAAAGUCAAAUUCCUCGCAUCCCCAAGGAUAUCCCAAAGGAACUGGCCGGACUAGUAAAUGCGGUAAACGCAACGGCGCUUCCUCCUCCGACUCCUAAUUUCACAUCCACUAGCAGCCCUUCCACCAGAUAUUCUGAAUCUCCUGGGCCAUGGAGUAGCAGAACGUCCACUCCAACCUCCAUGUCUUCGUAUUCACCUGGGAUCAUUCAUCCAACAAAGAUAGGAUCACGUCUAAGGCAACCAAGUCCCGCUCUCUCGAGAAGCCCGCUUCCUAGACAAUCUACUGCCCCUGUUCCUUCCACCAUUCCUCUCAUUUCCACCAAAGAUGGAACUCCCCCAUACCCAAGAACACCGCGCAAAGCUCAGACACAUCCUCCUAUAACGGCAAUCAAAACUGAAAAAGACGAACGGCAACACGGUGACAAAAAGAAAACCUCCCAACCUCCUCGCGGCCCUCCACCUCGAAAAACGGCCACUAAAUUCAAACCUCCAAAGACGAAGGAGGACGAUUCCACUCAGAUGUCAAAUAAAAACUCGG
This 572-nucleotide small RNA is filed under the name Histoplasma capsulatum. RNAcentral's name for it is "hypothetical RNA". The record is from RNAcentral. Lineage: Eukaryota; Fungi; Ascomycota; Eurotiomycetes; Onygenales; Ajellomycetaceae. RNAcentral also lists the same sequence under 1 other name.